AGUCUAGCAUGUGCGCGAGUCAUUGGGACUCAAUAAACCUAAAGGCGCAAUGAAAGUGAAAGUCUGUUUACGCGGACUUAGGGAGGAUAGGUGUCCGGUGCACACACAAGUUGUGUACACAAACCUCGCACUCCUGGGGCGUCUCGCACUCAUUGCGAGGUGGGGCGCACCAAGAGCGUACACGCUGGGACCCGAAAGAUGGUGAACUAUGCCUGGUCAGGACGAAGUCAGGGGAAACCCUGAUGGAGGUCCGUAGCGAUUCUGACGUGCAAAUCGAUCGUCGGAACUGGGCUUAGGGGCGAAAGACUAAUCGAACCAUCUAGUAGCUGGUUCCCACCGAAGUUUCCCUCAGGAUAGCUGGCACUAGAUUAUGGAUGAGUCUCAUCCGGUAAAGCGAAUGAUUAGAGGCAUUGGGGUCGAAACGGCCUCAACCUAUUCUCAAACUUUAAAUGGGUGAGAUCUCCGGCUUGCUCGAUUUAUGAAGCCGGAGAUCGGAUCAAUUAGUGCCAAGUGGGCCACUUUUGGUAAGCAGAACUGGCGCUGUGGGAUGAACCAAACGCAGAGUUAAAGCGCCAAAAUCGACGCUUAUGGGAUACCAUGAAAGGCGUUGGUAACUUAAGACAGCAGGACGGUGGCCAUGGAAGUC
RNAcentral lists this ribosomal RNA (646 nucleotides) under Carabus irregularis bucephalus. RNAcentral describes it as "eukaryotic LSU rRNA". It matches the Rfam family "Eukaryotic large subunit ribosomal RNA", at positions 672 to 1262 of the family's 3401-position model. Lineage: Eukaryota; Metazoa; Arthropoda; Insecta; Coleoptera; Carabidae. The record is from RNAcentral.